This 485-nucleotide ribosomal RNA is filed under the name uncultured bacterium. RNAcentral describes it as "partial 16S ribosomal RNA". It matches the Rfam family "Bacterial small subunit ribosomal RNA", at positions 30 to 507 of the family's 1533-position model. The record is from RNAcentral.
AUUGAACGCUGGCGGCAGGCUUAACACAUGCAAGUCGAGCGGGGGAAGGUAGCUUGCUACCGGACCUAGCGGCGGACGGGUGAGUAAUGCUUAGGAAUCUGCCUAUUAGUGGGGGACAACAUCUCGAAAGGGAUGCUAAUACCGCAUACGUCCUACGGGAGAAAGCAGGGGAUCUUCGGACCUUGCGCUAAUAGAUGAGCCUAAGUCGGAUUAGCUAGUUGGUGGGGUAAAGGCCUACCAAGGCGACGAUCUGUAGCGGGUCUGAGAGGAUGAUCCGCCACACUGGGACUGAGACACGGCCCAGACUCCUACGGGAGGCAGCAGUGGGGAAUAUUGGACAAUGGGGGGAACCCUGAUCCAGCCAUGCCGCGGGUGUGAAGAAGGCCUUAUGGUUGUAAAGCACUUUAAGCGAGGAGGAGGCUACUUUAGUUAAUACCUAGAGAUAGUGGACGUUACUCGCAGAAUAAGCACCGGCUAACUCUGUG